Molecule: ribosomal RNA, 400 nt
Filed under: uncultured bacterium
Lineage: Bacteria
Description: bacterial SSU rRNA
Rfam family: Bacterial small subunit ribosomal RNA
Source: RNAcentral
GGGGGAUAUUGCACAAUGGAGGAAACUCUGAUGCAGCAACGCCGCGUGAAGGAAGACGGUCUUCGGAUUGUAAACUUUUGUACUUGGGGACGAUAAUGACGGUACCCAAGCAGCAAGCUCCGGCUAACUACGUGCCAGCAGCCGCGGUAAUACGUAGGGAGCGAGCGUUGUCCGGAUUUACUGGGUGUAAAGGGUGCGUAGGCGGCUUGGCAAGUCAGUUGUGAAAACUAUGGGCUCAACCCAUAGCCUGCAAUUGAAACUGCUGAGCUUGAGUGAAGUAGAGGUAGGUGGAAUUCCCGGUGUAGCGGUGAAAUGCGUAGAGAUCGGGAGGAACACCAGUGGCGAAGGCGACCUACUGGGCUUUAACUGACGCUGAGGCACGAAAGCAUGGGUAGCAAAC